CUGCAGCGUCUUGGAGAUGCGCGCCUUGCUGGCCUCGUUGAUCUGCGUCUGCCGCACGCGGCCGCUGCCCGCCUUGCCCAGAUGGCCCAGGCUGAAGCCCAGGUCCUCCUGGUACGCGUCCUCCUCGAUCUCUCCGAAGCUCAUGCGGUUGGCCUGCUUGCGGAUCUCGGUCAGCCCCAGGCGCUCCUUCAUCUUACGGUACCUGC
RNAcentral lists this long non-coding RNA (206 nucleotides) under Gallus gallus (chicken). The record is from RNAcentral. Lineage: Eukaryota; Metazoa; Chordata; Aves; Galliformes; Phasianidae.